CAGCUAGUUGGUGAGGUAACGGCUCACCAAGGCGACGAUCAGUAGCUGGUCUGAGAGGAUGAUCAGCCACAUUGGGACUGAGACACGGCCCAAACUCCUACGGGAGGCAGCAGUGGGGAAUAUUGGACAAUGGGCGCAAGCCUGAUCCAGCCAUGCCGCGUGAGUGAUGAAGGCCCUAGGGUUGUAAAGCUCUUUUGUGCGGGAAGAUAAUGACGGUACCGCAAGAAUAAGCCCCGGCUAACUUCGUGCCAGCAGCCGCGGUAAUACGAAGGGGGCUAGCGUUGCUCGGGAUCACUGGGCGUAAAGGGUGCGUAGGCGGGUCUUUAAGUCAGGGGUGAAAUCCUGGAGCUCAACUCCAGAACUGCCUUUGAUACUGAGGAUCUUGAGUUCGGGAGAGGUGAGUGGAACUGCGAGUGUAAGGUGAAAUUCGUAGAUAUUCGCAAGAACACCCGUGGCGAAGG
This 461-nucleotide ribosomal RNA is filed under the name uncultured Alphaproteobacteria bacterium. RNAcentral describes it as "SSU rRNA". It matches the Rfam family "Bacterial small subunit ribosomal RNA", at positions 242 to 721 of the family's 1533-position model. Lineage: Bacteria; Pseudomonadati; Pseudomonadota; Alphaproteobacteria. The record is from RNAcentral.